Molecule: ribosomal RNA, 253 nt
Filed under: uncultured bacterium
Lineage: Bacteria
Description: partial 16S ribosomal RNA
Rfam family: Bacterial small subunit ribosomal RNA
Source: RNAcentral
UACGAAGGGGGCUAGCGUUGUUCGGAAUUACUGGGCGUAAAGGGCGCGUAGGCGGUUUGACCAGUCAGGUGUGAAAUUCCCGGGCUUAACCUGGGGGCUGCACUUGAUACUGUCAGGCUUGAAUUCGGGAGAGGAUAGUGGAAUUCCCAGUGUAGAGGUGAAAUUCGUAGAUAUUGGGAAGAACACCAGUGGCGAAGGCGACUAUCUGGACCGACAUUGACGCUGAGGCGCGAAAGCGUGGGGAGCAAACAGG